This is a long non-coding RNA of Brassica napus (rape), 1567 nucleotides long. RefSeq lists it as uncharacterized. The record is from RefSeq and is a predicted model, not a curated record. NCBI's taxonomy places the organism in Eukaryota, Viridiplantae, Streptophyta, Magnoliopsida, Brassicales, Brassicaceae. The transcript has 4 exons.
UGUCGAGAAUGAUUAAUAGUGGACUUAUUUGUGUGGGUUUAAUUUAUUUUUCCAUGGCCCAAAUUGUUCACAUUUCGCAAAAACUUAAUCUUCCUCCCAAUUGAUUAAUCGUCUCUGGCCCUUCCUCUUCGUCGUUAUCGUUUCACUUCUGAGUCAUUUAACAUUUUCUUUACUCCUUCUUUCUUUAUGGUUUCGUUCCAACUCCCUGCGUUUCUCCUCCUAUAUAAAGUCUUUCGUAUCAACCAAAAACCUACAGCCUCACGGAAAAUGUGGAAACCUGCGGAGGAGUAGGGUUCCGAACGGAGCUCAAAAUGUUCAUAUCAGCUUCCUAAGAUUGUCUUCUAUGUGUUUAGUCCUUCGCUAUUGGAAACUGUUUAGCUGGUAGCGUAACAUAUGAAAGCUUGGUGAACAUCUGUGUUGUAUUCUCAUCACUGAGCCUCCUUCGCCUACAUCUUCGUGGUCUCAUUGUUGGUUGAUGUGCGGCUGGGAAUAUGGGAAUAUACCAUCAAUCAUAAUCCCAACUGUUUAUAAAGACAAAGUAGAGGUCUAUCUGAAGAUCCUGAGAAUUGCCACAAAUAUGGAAUGGGUUAUGUUGCACUCUCCAUGGCCGUAAGUAGUCAUCUCACUUCUUCAAGGUUUUAUCGGUGUAUAUUUUAUUUUUGGCAUCAGCCACCAGAUAUACAUAUAUCAUACAGCUACACAAUGAAGAAAUAAUAAUUUUCAAUUCAUAUAUUUUGUUUUCAAAAAGAAUUAUAGUUGUAAAACAGAUGUAGCUGAGAUUUUGUAACAUACACACAAAUACACAGUUCCCCAGAAUCACCGAGAAGCCUUAUUGUUGCGCACCUGAAAGAGUAGUUGAUCACGAGUAUGUUUCAAUGAAAAUCAUAAACCUUCUUUCUGUAAAAGAAAAUAAAAACCCUUUGAAGACUCUGUUUGCGAAGUUGCAGUCGAGUGCUUUGGUUUGGAGAUUUGAAUUACAGAGUUUCUUUAGCCUAUUAAGAGAUGAAUAUUUCUAGAGACAAUGAUUGUGACACACUUCUUGAGAAAGACCAGGUUUUGUAGUAGAAAUUAUCUUAAAUACUCAAAUCUUUAUUGAAGACCAGGAUGAGUGUUUCUCUCGAAACUCAGAUUCUCACGCCGGAGAAGCCACUAAGUCUAAGGAAAAACUAUGUACUCAUGCUUGGUUGGUACUAUCCAAAACUCUAGAAACACGUUUUUGUGGUGUGUUUGGAAUGUUUUCAGGUUUGAUCAGAUUCCAUGAGGAGGAGAAGGAAUAGAACUUUCUUAUACUUUAGGAGAAUCACGGUUUUCAGAUCACAGACCGGUUUGUGCAAAUAUUUGCAGGAGAAGUUGUUGUGAAGAGUCUGAGAAACAUAGAUAAUGUUAUUCAUGUGCGGCUGCAAGAUUGGUUGAGGAUUGCACUCCAAACUCAUAGUUUUAACUAAGAUUAUUAUAGUUCUUUUCAGAACAAAAUAUAUGACUUUUUUAAUUGUAAUUUUUCCUCAUUGUGUAUGGUUAAUUUUUGGCAUCAGCCGUCAUGAUACAUAUAUGUACUUCAAUGUUAUCA